Molecule: unclassified non-coding RNA, 20 nt
Filed under: Mus musculus (house mouse)
Lineage: Eukaryota; Metazoa; Chordata; Mammalia; Rodentia; Muridae
Description: oocyte_clustered_small_RNA1650
Source: RNAcentral
CCACUGGUGCCUGAGUCCUG